Molecule: unclassified non-coding RNA, 679 nt
Filed under: Hevea brasiliensis (rubber tree)
Lineage: Eukaryota; Viridiplantae; Streptophyta; Magnoliopsida; Malpighiales; Euphorbiaceae
Source: RNAcentral
GGCAAAAACAUUGUCCGAGAGGUAAUUUCUUGCCACAGCUUUUACUUGGUCUUAUCUUUCGUGUAAUAAACAGUGUUGUAGAGAACUGAGACAUCAUAGUUAAAAUUACAUACUCUUCUCCAAGUCUCAUUUGAGAGAUUGCUAAGGCAACAACACAUCUGAUUCAAUCAUUAUAGUUGAAUAUAAUACUUAUUUUCUUUUUAAGAAAACUGAUUAUAGUUGAAUAGAAAAUAUCCGAAUAAUUUAGUUAUCAUAAUACUCAAAACUGAAAAUUCUACCAACAAUGUUUUGACAAUGGACAAGUCAAUUCAAAUUGAAUUUCCCUGUUUCACCACCUUCACGAUAGUAAAAUGGGUGCAUAAGUUUGUACAAAUGAAAAAUAAAAUAGAUCUACGUGAUAUCUCUUCAUUUGCAAAUAAUUCGUGAUGUGAAAAUACAGAGACAAAGGGCUGAUUUUUAAAUAGAAAAAAGAGUGGAUCUGCAGGAAUCUUUUAAAUUCCCUUGUAGUGAAAAAUGCUAAAAAAUAGGUUUUUUUUUUAAUUUUUCCCUUCAUUUUUAAAGUGAUAUAUUCGUGAGAGAUUGGAAAACAUAUACCAGCUUUUUGGUUAGCCCAAUCACACUCAUGAGAUAGGCCAUGAGCCAUGGGAAUCUAUGAAAUAUCGAAAUUUAUGCAUAUAUG